ACCACUUAAUUAUAUCAGAAAACCAUGUAAAGACGCUAUAACAUAGGUGAAUGAAAGAAUUAGUCCAAUCUAAAAGCUAUCAUUCUUUGACUAUUUAACGGAAAUCCAUGAUAGUUAUAAUCAAUUUAUCUUAAUAUACUUGGCCACUAACAUGGGAAAAAACUUAAGCUUGACGCAGGUUAGUAUUCACAAAUGUCAAUCACCUACUUUUUACCAAACCAAA
RNAcentral lists this unclassified non-coding RNA (223 nucleotides) under Hevea brasiliensis (rubber tree). The record is from RNAcentral. Lineage: Eukaryota; Viridiplantae; Streptophyta; Magnoliopsida; Malpighiales; Euphorbiaceae.